Molecule: ribosomal RNA, 1241 nt
Filed under: metagenome
Description: bacterial LSU rRNA
Rfam family: Bacterial large subunit ribosomal RNA
Source: RNAcentral
UGAAUACGAGACGCUACGGCGUCGAAGCAGUCUAUGUCAUACUUCCAAGAAAAGCUCGCUAUGUCAUAAACCAAGAAUGCCUGUACCAUAACCGACACAGGUGGGUAGGUAGAGUAUACUAAGGGGCGCGAGAUAACUCUCUCUAAGGAACUCGGCAAAAUGACUCCGUAACUUCGGGAGAAGGAGUGCCUUAUUUCUAAGGUUGCAAUAACAAGAUCCAAGCAACUGUUUAUCAAAAACACAGGUCUCCGCUAAGUCGUAAGACGAUGUAUGGGGGCUGACGCCUGCCCAGUGCCAGAAGGUUAAAGAAGUUGGUUAGCAUUCGCGAAGCUGAUAACUGAAGCCCUGGUGAACGGCGGCCGUAACUAUAACGGUCCUAAGGUAGCGAAAUUCCUUGUCGGGUAAGUUCCGACCCGCACGAAAGGCGUAAUGAUUUGGAUACUGUCUCGGAGAGGGACUCGGUGAAAUAGACUUGUCUGUGAAGAUGCGGACUACCUGCACCUGGACAGAAAGACCCUAUGAAGCUUUACUGUAACUUGACAUUGAAAUUGGACUUUAUUUGCGCAGUAUAGGUGGGAGGCGUUGAGCAGAUUCUUGCGGGAAUCUGGGAGCCAUCAGUGAGAUACCACUCUUGUAAUGUUAGAUAUCUAACUUUGGAUCCUGAUCGGUCAAAGAACAGUGUCAGGCGGGCAGUUUGACUGGGGCGGUCGCCUCCCAAACGGUAACGGAGGCGUACAAAGGUUUCCUCUGAACGGGUAGAAAUCGUAUCUAGAGUGUAAAGGCAUAACGAAGCUUGACUGUGAGACCUACAAGUCGAGCAGGGACGAAAGUCGGUCUUAGUGAUCUGACGGUGCUGAGUGGAAAGGCCGUCACUCAACGGAUAAAAGUUACUCUAGGAUAACAGGCUGAUCUCCCCCAAGAGUUCACAUCGACGGGGAGGUUUGGCACCUCGAUGUCGGCUCAUCGCAUCCUGGGGCGGUAGUACGUCCCAAGGGUUGGGCUGUUCGCCCAUGAAAGCGGUACGCGAGCUGGGUUCAGAACGUCGUGAGACAGUUCGGUCCAUAUCCGGUGUAGGCGUUAGAAUAUUGAGAGGAGCCUUCUUUAGUACGAGAGGACCGAGAAGGACAUACCUCUGGUGUACCAGUUAUCGUGCCAACGGUAAACGCUGGGUAGCUAUGUAUGGAGAGGAUAACCGCUGAAAGCAUCUAAGUGGGAAGCCCACCUCAAGAUAAGUAUUCUCC